This 429-nucleotide ribosomal RNA is filed under the name Chloroflexota bacterium. RNAcentral's name for it is "Chloroflexi bacterium partial 16S ribosomal RNA". It matches the Rfam family "Bacterial small subunit ribosomal RNA", at positions 355 to 776 of the family's 1533-position model. Lineage: Bacteria; Bacillati; Chloroflexota. The record is from RNAcentral.
UGGGGAAUAUUGCACAAUUGGCGCAAGCCUGAUGCAGCCAUGCCGCGUGUGUGAAGAAGGCCUUCGGGUUGUAAAGCACUUUCAUCGGGGAGGAAGGCGUUAAGGUUAAUAACCUUGGCGAUUGACGUUACCCGCAGAAGAAGCACCGGCUAACUCCGUGCCAGCAGCCGCGGUAAUACGGAGGGUGCAAGCGUUAAUCGGAAUUACUGGGCGUAAAGCGCACGCAGGCGGUCUGUCAAGUCGGAUGUGAAAUCCCCGGGCUCAACCUGGGAACUGCAUUCGAAACUGGCAGGCUAGAGUCUUGUAGAGGGGGGUAGAAUUCCAGGUGUAGCGGUGAAAUGCGUAGAGAUCUGGAGGAAUACCGGUGGCGAAGGCGGCCCCCUGGACAAAGACUGACGCUCAGGUGCGAAAGCGUGGGGAGAAAACAGG